GAUUAGAUACCCCACUAUGCCCGACCGAAAAAUAUUUAAUUACACCUAAACACGCCAGGGAACUACGAGCUUAGCUUAAAACCCAAAGGACUUGACGGUGUCCCACCCUACUAGAGGAGCCUGUCCUAUAAUUGAUGACCCCCGCUAAACCUUACCAUUUUUUGCUAUCAGCCAGUAUACUUCCGUCGUAAGUUCACCAUAUAAAUGUGCUCAGUGGACUCAAUGGUCACCCCCACCAAUACGUCAGGUCAAGGUGCAGCUUAAGAAAUGGAUUGAGAUGGGCUACAAUUUCUAACUUAGAACAUACGGAAUACUGUAUGAAACACAGCUAUAAAGGCGGAUUUAGAAGUAAAAAGAAAAUAGCGUGUUCUUUUUAAUUAGGCCCUGGGACGUGUACACACCGCCCGUCCC
RNAcentral lists this ribosomal RNA (411 nucleotides) under Ingerana borealis (Rotung oriental frog). RNAcentral's name for it is "partial 12S ribosomal RNA". It matches the Rfam family "Bacterial small subunit ribosomal RNA", at positions 776 to 1400 of the family's 1533-position model. The record is from RNAcentral. Lineage: Eukaryota; Metazoa; Chordata; Amphibia; Anura; Dicroglossidae.